RNAcentral lists this ribosomal RNA (141 nucleotides) under uncultured eukaryote. Its description in RNAcentral is "partial 18S ribosomal RNA". It matches the Rfam family "Eukaryotic small subunit ribosomal RNA", at positions 1299 to 1458 of the family's 1831-position model. The record is from RNAcentral.
UUGUGGAGCGAUUUGUCUGGUCAAUUCCGAUAAUAAACGAGACUAGCCUACUAAAUAGUUCGAGGACCCCCACAAAGGGGUCCAGCUUAAACUUCUUAGAGGGACAGGUGGCGUUUAGCCACACGAGAUUGAGCAAUAACA